AUGCCUAGUACUGGACAUGCAACUGCCCCCCUCGGACUCGCAAGUACACCACCCCCUCUCCCGCCGCCCUCCGAGAAAAACACAAGGCCAAUUGCAGCCAGGGACGACACCUGUAGUUGCAUCCCUAGUACUGGACAUGCAAUUGGGCCCACCCACGUCACUCACAUACAAAAAAUAAAAGUUAGUUGCAGUUGGGGUGUAUGCAUCCAGUUGCGGUUGAGGGCGACCCUUGCAAUUGCAAGCCUACUGUUGGACAUGCAACUGUCCCCUCCCCCUCUCCAACAAAAAACGCAAUGCCACUUGCAGUCAGGGAGGAGACAUGCAGUUGCGGUCGAGGGCGACACUUGCAGUUGCAAGUCUAGUAUCGGACAUGCAACUCGCAGCCCUCUCCUCCCGCACCCUUACAAAAACAAAAAUGGUAGUUGCAUUUGUCUCUGUGGGCAUGCGAUUGCGGUCAAGGGUGACACUUGA
RNAcentral lists this ribosomal RNA (471 nucleotides) under Triticum aestivum (bread wheat). Its description in RNAcentral is "partial small subunit ribosomal RNA". Lineage: Eukaryota; Viridiplantae; Streptophyta; Magnoliopsida; Poales; Poaceae. The record is from RNAcentral.